AUGCGCUAAAAAAAACUGAUUUUUUGAAUUAAAAAUCUCAAUCUUAUUUUUUUGAACCAAUCUUACUAAUAUAAAGAAAAGAGACAUUUUUGGUGUGACCAAAAUUUUCAAUAAACAAUGAUAUUACAAGUUUACCCUCCGGGUUUUUUUUAGACUAAAAUCAUCGUAAAUAUCUUACAACGUCAAGGACAUAUUCGACUUCAGUCUUCUUCCCGUGUUUUCACUCAAACUCAAUCUGAAGGUUGAAGGAGAAAACCACCGAAGAGGAAGAGAUGGCGAAAAUCACCACCACUCUCCACAUCCUUCAGUUUCAUCCUCUUUGACCACCACCACCACCACCACCCUCUUCUUCGUCUUCGUUUCUUUCGUUUCUUAUACCCUGUAUCUAGAACCCUAAUAAUCCCUACGUUUACUGUAACCCUAAAUACCAAAUUAGCUAACUUUGAUUAUAGCUUCGAUUUCAUUAUUUGCCCAAUUUCGAUUUUAAAUCCACAUAGAAACAUAAUUUCACUUUAGGUUAGCAACAAAUUUAUUGAUGGAUCAACGUCGCUGUACAGGACUUGGUGUUUUGAAUUGAUUUAUAACCUCCAACCCUAAAUACCAAAUUCGGUAAAAAGUUCUUCUCCUUUCUUCUCAAAAUUAAACCUUCAAUUAUAAAUUUUGUAAUAAUGGAUAAGUAACUUCAGUUAUAAAUUCAAUGUUAUUAUCCUCCCAAUUUAGAUUUUAAAUUCACAUAGAAAUAGAAUUUCAGUCUUAGUAAGCAACAAACCUUCAGCAUCAAUUUCGAUUUUGUUAAUGCACUUUAUUUGUAGAUGGAUCAACGUAGAAGCCCAAGACUAUUGGAGCUAGCUCUAAUUCGAGAGCAGUUUAAAUGGAAAAUUCAUAGCUCUUGCCUUACUUCCAUACGAACCAAUUACCUUGAGGAUUGUGUGUUUUCUUUCUUGAUGGUUAUUUACAGAGUCUGAACUUUCUUGGUUGCACAAUAUGAUAAGAAACAUUUUAUACAGUAAUUUGUGCAACAAGCUAUCACAAUUCUUCUUCGCACAUUAUCGCAGUCGGAUCCAAACUGUGAUUUUCAGAAACAUGUUGUGAUUGCAAAGAAAUCUAAGUUACUCAUUUGAGAUUUCAAUUUUCAAGGGUAACUACACGGUUCUCACGAUGUUGUGGGCACACGUUGUGAAUCAGUUUAACCAAAGGUUAUACCUUUGGAUUCCAUAUUUGUGUUAAAUUUUGUUUCUUAUGUCUGUAACCAUCUAUUGUUCUGGCCAAUAAUUUUAGCUAGGUAUAUGCCUCAAAUAAGAUCAGAUUCGUUUACAGGAAUGGCAAGUUUUUUAACACAAGUAGAUAUGUAAUUAGAGUGUUCUUCGUUCUUAUUUGGAUCGAGUGCUCAUUUAAAGAUAAUUGUCAUUCACCACGGACUUGCAUUUCGCUGACACUAUAAUUCUUUUUCUAACCUGAGCAUAUGCAGUCCUGGAUAUGAAAAUGCGCCACCAUAUAACUUUCCCUUAGCUUACCCUACCGGACUGCAUGAAAACCCCUUAGUUCUGUCUCAUGGUGUUAGGUACGUGUUAAAGGAACUAUUAUUUAUGAUCUCUAAAAUAAAAGGAAAUGCAUAUGUGCUAAAGAUUCUUCAUCCCAUGUACAAUAUGGUGGUGAGCUGUGGUGAUGGUGGUGGUGAAGUAGCCACAAAUGAAGAGAGAAUCGGAGAUAAAAAUGAAGUUUUAUAAUGAGUUUGUUAUACAUGUACAAACAAUUGACAACAUCCGAAGCACGUAAUCAGACAAAAGAAAAGUCAUAAUACAAUUCCUUCAGUGGGAUCCUACAGCGCCCCGAGGAAGAGAUCCCGCCUAAGUCCGGCAAAUGUUGAUGCUUCAGUGGAGCUCAACCCGGCCUUUAGCUCCAGACCCCGUAAAGGUCCAAGACUUAUAGAACAAGAUCAAUCCCAAGCAUUGAUGUAAGCACGAAAAAGUUGCUUAGAAUGUUUGAAUCUGGAGUACCAAUUUAUAAUGCUUAAAUCUGUUCGUAGUUUCAAUCAGGAUCGAUGAAUCCAGCUCAUAUGUACGUUUUACUGUCUCGCAUAGUUUCAUCGAGCAUGACGGUUAUGCAUUCUGCCGUAAUCCCAAUUUCAGCAAGACAGGAUACCAUUGGGUAGGCAUUCACGCUAGAACAGACUGAUCAUCAUCAGUUGAUUCGCCAAGAAAUUUGCUAUCACUAGCUGUAUACAGAUGCUUACGUUUUUCUUUUCUGAUCGAUGUAUCCAGCUCAUAUGUAUGUUUUACUGUCUUGCAUAGUUUCAUCGAGCUUAUAUAAAUACACAUUCUUGAUGUAAUAGGAUAUAUAUGAUUGAAAAAUUAUUAGACGAAAAAUUGGAGUUUAAUUGUAAUUACUUAUGCAGAUCAGCUUGAAAUGAGUUUUGACCA
This is a long non-coding RNA of Papaver somniferum (opium poppy), 2420 nucleotides long. RefSeq lists it as uncharacterized. The record is from RefSeq and is a predicted model, not a curated record. NCBI's taxonomy places the organism in Eukaryota, Viridiplantae, Streptophyta, Magnoliopsida, Ranunculales, Papaveraceae. The transcript has 5 exons.